CCAAAAAAAAACACGACUGCCUUACAUGCACAAGUUCAGUUCCUUCAGCAUAUUCUCCAAGAGUGGGAUGCUGUAAUUUACUGAGACCACUAGAUUGCUUCUCAGAGGCCUGAAUCUGGCUUUGCUGCUAUGAACCUGCCCUGCCUUGGUAAACAAGGCCAACUGUCCCCUACAGGAAGACCAAAACAGCCUGCGGUAAUGUGGCAAAACCAACUCUCAUCUGGUCCAGCGUCCACUCCAAGAGAAACAUGCUGAGAGCAACAACAGGCUCAAUGCUCCCCAGCUCUGGGCAGACAGGACUGUGGAGUGGCCUGGCAAUUGUCCCUUCUGACCUCUGAGGAGAAAAUCCCCAAAUGACCAUGGGCACAUGGGGUACAUGGAAUCAACAAAAUGAAAAGCCAACGUAUG
Miniopterus natalensis is the source of this 408-nucleotide long non-coding RNA. RefSeq lists it as uncharacterized. The record is from RefSeq and is a predicted model, not a curated record. NCBI's taxonomy places the organism in Eukaryota, Metazoa, Chordata, Mammalia, Chiroptera, Miniopteridae.